GUUACCGCUGGGAGUUAACCACAUAGAUGAGCAAGAACGGUACUCUGGACCCAACCGGCUUUUUAUUUCCACUCUUUACGGAGACUCCGGAGAUCGACGAAGUGCUACGAUUGCAAGAACGGUUGAAGAAUAAGUGCAUUUUAACCUUUUGCAACAUUCAUGACUAAAAAGUGUGCUAAAAACACUCGACCUUCCAAAAAAUGAAUCUUCAAGGCUUACGAAAAACAUUGUACAAGGGCAUUUUCCAACGCACGUCGACAUUUGUACUCGCGUGCGUUGUGUCCGCAUUUGCCUUCGAAAGAUUGGUCGAUGUUACGGGGGAUCAACUUUUUUUAUUCAUUAAUACAGGGAAAAUGUACAAGGACGUAGAGAAGAAGUAUGCAGCCUUAGCAGCAGGAUCAGAGGGGGAGGAAGAAGAAUAAAAUACUGCACACAUUUAUAGGAUCUUACAAUUGUUGAACAGACUCAAUUUGGACUAAAUGAAACUAGACUCACUUCAAAUCAAACAAAACCUGGAAGUGUCAAAUGAGGAUAAGAAUAAAUAUUGAUGUUUUCAACAUAGAACGUGUGCAUUUAAUAAAUACUAUAAUGAAUCAGUUUAACAUUCAGAAACAUUCAGAAAAUCAGAAACAUUCAAAAUAUUUACGUUAAUUGAUAGUGCCCCAGAUUUUUUUGGAACAUUAUGAUGUUAUUUAUAAUUUACAUUUUUGUUGUAUUCAAAUGAAUACAAUUAAACAUGUGUAAACACUA
Long non-coding RNA from Dreissena polymorpha, 750 nucleotides. RefSeq lists it as uncharacterized. NCBI's taxonomy places the organism in Eukaryota, Metazoa, Mollusca, Bivalvia, Myida, Dreissenidae. The record is from RefSeq and is a predicted model, not a curated record. The transcript has 2 exons.